GGCGACCAUAGCAAGAGUGAACCACCUGAUCCCUUCCCGAACUCAGAAGUGAAACCUCUUAGCGCUGAUGGUAGUGUGGGAUUACCCAUGUGAGAGUAAGUCAUCGCCAGCUC
RNAcentral lists this ribosomal RNA (113 nucleotides) under Acinetobacter baumannii. Lineage: Bacteria; Pseudomonadati; Pseudomonadota; Gammaproteobacteria; Moraxellales; Moraxellaceae. RNAcentral also lists the same sequence under 1 other name. The record is from RNAcentral.